UGCCCGUUAGCUUAGUUGGUAGAGCGCCGUUACUGUCUUUACGAGACGGUGGUCACAGGUUCAAGUCCUGUACGGGCUA
Non-coding RNA from Halocaridina rubra (Hawaiian volcano shrimp), 79 nucleotides. NCBI's taxonomy places the organism in Eukaryota, Metazoa, Arthropoda, Malacostraca, Decapoda, Atyidae. The record is from the annotation of a GenBank genome assembly.